Hibiscus syriacus is the source of this 349-nucleotide long non-coding RNA. RefSeq lists it as uncharacterized. NCBI's taxonomy places the organism in Eukaryota, Viridiplantae, Streptophyta, Magnoliopsida, Malvales, Malvaceae. The transcript has 3 exons. The record is from RefSeq and is a predicted model, not a curated record.
UAUCAAGAAGUCUCGGAUCAUCUUCUCCAUUCUGUCGUGACUCCAUAGCCAAAGAAAAUUGAUGAUAUGAAGAUCGUGAUUGAAAACAAAUCGAACCAAAAGAAAAGGAUUAAGUUCGAGGGUGCAAGGAAGAUAGUAAUUAAAGUGCAGUGAGGCAACAUGUAAAGGGAAAUCAACAGAGGAGUACGGAGCCAGGUAAAGCAUCUCAUAUUUUGAAAUGCAGUUUAGACGACAAGAAUCAAUAUGACAUUUUUAUGAUAUAUUGAUAUUUCUUAGUUGACAUGUACAUAUUUAUAUUUUGAUUCUCUAAUUUGAUAUGUUUGAACUGCUUUUGAUUUAAACUCUAUAU